UUUUUUAUUUGUCAAGAAAACUUGAUCACAAAAGGGCUUUGCCUCUAAGAAUGAACAAAUUUCUCAAACUUUCCCUUAGUGUGGGGGUGAUCCUUCGUUAGGGUUCCUUAAAAAGAAAUUUUAAAAGGUUCAAACGGGAUAGCAAGAGAUAAUUUUUCUCUCUCUCUCUCUCUCUUUUUUUUGGAAGUAUAGAAGAAAAAUGAUCAUUUCUCAUUUCAAACAUGAAUACUCGUAAUGG
Molecule: long non-coding RNA, 238 nt
Filed under: Durio zibethinus
Lineage: Eukaryota; Viridiplantae; Streptophyta; Magnoliopsida; Malvales; Malvaceae
Description: long non-coding RNA (DZIB_LNC000573)
Source: RNAcentral